This 73-nucleotide transfer RNA is filed under the name Paraconger notialis (Guinean conger). RNAcentral describes it as "tRNA-Ile". It matches the Rfam family "tRNA". From Rfam's summary of the family: Transfer RNA (tRNA) molecules are approximately 80 nucleotides in length. Their secondary structure includes four short double-helical elements and three loops (D, anti-codon, and T loops). The record is from RNAcentral. Lineage: Eukaryota; Metazoa; Chordata; Actinopteri; Anguilliformes; Congridae.
GGAAAUAUGCCUGAAAUGAAAAAGGACCACUUUGAUAGAGUGGAUCAUGAGAGUUAAAACCCCCCUAUUUCCU